Molecule: small RNA, 124 nt
Filed under: Marmota monax (woodchuck)
Lineage: Eukaryota; Metazoa; Chordata; Mammalia; Rodentia; Sciuridae
Source: RNAcentral
GUCAGCAUGGUGACGCAUGCCUGUAACUCCAGCGGCUAGGAGGGCUGAGACAGGAGGAUCACGAGUUCAAAGUAGGCUUUAGCAAUGGUGAGGUGCUUAGCAACUCAGUGAGAUCCUGUUUCCA